This 45-nucleotide non-coding RNA is filed under the name Schistosoma margrebowiei. The record is from RNAcentral. Lineage: Eukaryota; Metazoa; Platyhelminthes; Trematoda; Strigeidida; Schistosomatidae.
AUCCAGCAGACUAGUCCCAAAUUGGAUGAAAUGUGCGUCCUGUAU